Molecule: ribosomal RNA, 422 nt
Filed under: uncultured cyanobacterium
Lineage: Bacteria; Bacillati; Cyanobacteriota
Description: bacterial SSU rRNA
Rfam family: Bacterial small subunit ribosomal RNA
Source: RNAcentral
GGAAUUUUCCGCAAUGGGCGAAAGCCUGACGGAGCAACGCCGCGUGAGGGAUGAAGGCCUCUGGGCUGUAAACCUCUUUUAUCAAGGAAGAAGAUCUGACGGUACUUGAUGAAUAAGCCACGGCUAAUUCCGUGCCAGCAGCCGCGGUAAUACGGGAGUGGCAAGCGUUAUCCGGAAUUAUUGGGCGUGAAGCGUCCGCAGGCGGUCUUUUAAGUCUGCUGUUAAAGCGUGGAGCUUAACUCCAUUUCGGCAGUGGAAACUGGAAGACUAGAGUGUGGUAGGGGCAGAGGGAAUUCCCGGUGUAGCGGUGAAAUGCGUAGAUAUCGGGAAGAACACCAGUGGCGAAGGCGCUCUGCUGGGCCAUAACUGACGCUCAUGGACGAAAGCCAGGGGAGCGAAAGGGAUUAGAUACCCCAGUAGUC